GACGAACGCUGGCGGCGUGCCUAAUACAUGCAAGUAGAACGCUUAAGGCGGAGCUUGCUCUUCUGGAUGAGUUGCGAACGUGUGAGUAACGAGUAGGUAAUCUGCCUGGUAGCGGGGGAUAACUAUUGGAAACGAUAGCCAAUACCGCAUGACUACUGCUAUUGCAUGAUAACUGUUUACAAGGCGCAAUUGCCACACUACCAGUUGGACCUGGGUUGUAUUGGCUAGUUGGGGAGGUAACGGCUCACCAAGGCGACGAUACAUAGCCGACCGGAGAGGGUGAUCGGCCACACUGGGACUGAGACACGGCCCAGACUCCUACGGGAGGCAGCAGUAGGGAAUCUUCGGCAAUGGACGGAAGUCUGACCGGGCAACGCCGCGUGAGUGAAGAAGGUUUUCGGAUCGUAAAGCUCUGUUGUAAGGGAAGAACGAGUGUGAGAGUAGAAAGUUCACACUGUGACGGUACCUUACCAGAAAGCGACGGCUAACUACGUG
Molecule: ribosomal RNA, 495 nt
Filed under: uncultured bacterium
Lineage: Bacteria
Description: partial 16S ribosomal RNA
Rfam family: Bacterial small subunit ribosomal RNA
Source: RNAcentral